AUACGUAGGUGACAAGCGUUAUCCGGAUUUACUGGGCGUAAAGGGCGUGUAGGCGGUCUUGCAAGUCAGAAGUGAAAUUCCUGAGCUCAACUCGGGCGCUGCUUCUGAAACUGCAGGACUUGAGUGCUGGAGGGGAUAGCGGAAUUCCUAGUGGAGCGGUAAAAUGCGCAGAUAUUAGGAAGAACACCGGUGGCGAAGGCGGCUAUCUGGACAGUAACUGACGCUGAGGCGCGAAAGCGUGGGGAGCAAACAGGAUUAGAUACCCGGGUAGUCCACGCCGUAAACGAUGAAUACUAGGUGUAGGGGGUAUCGACUCCCUCUGUGCCGCAGUUAACACAAUAAGUAUUCCGCCUGGGGAGUGCGGCCGCAAGGUUGAAACUCAAAGGAAUUGACGGGG
This 397-nucleotide ribosomal RNA is filed under the name uncultured bacterium. RNAcentral's name for it is "partial 16S ribosomal RNA". It matches the Rfam family "Bacterial small subunit ribosomal RNA", at positions 523 to 918 of the family's 1533-position model. The record is from RNAcentral.